GAACGCUGGCGGCGUGCCUAAUACAUGCAAGUCGAACGGUCUUUCUAUGGAAGCUUGCUUCCACUGAGAAGAUAGUGGCGAACGGGUGAGUAACACGUGGGUAACCUGCCCAUAAGAGGGGGGAUAACAUCCGGAAACGGGUGCUAAUACCGCAUAGUUUUCUUGAUCGCAUGAUCGGGAAAGGAAAGACGGCCUUUGUGCUGUCGCUUAUGGAUGGACCCGCGGCGUAUUAGUUAGUUGGUGAGGUAACGGCUCACCAAGACGAUGAUACGUAGCCGACCUGAGAGGGUGAUCGGCCACUGGGACUGAGACACGGCCCAAACUCCUACGGGAGGCAGCAGUAGGGAAUCUUCCGCAAUGGACGAAAGUCUGACGGAGCAACGCCGCGUGAGUGAAGAAGGUUUUUCCGGAUCGUAAAACUCUGUUGUCAGAGAAGAACAAGUUGGAGAGUAACUGCUCCAGCCUUGACGGUAUCUGACCAGAAAGCCACGGCUAACUACGUGCCAGCCGCAGC
Molecule: ribosomal RNA, 514 nt
Filed under: uncultured bacterium
Lineage: Bacteria
Description: bacterial SSU rRNA
Rfam family: Bacterial small subunit ribosomal RNA
Source: RNAcentral